GAGGGGGGGGACCCGAUCUUCGCUCUGUGAAAGGAGGCAGGGAGUGGCCGUGGCGCUGUUGAGAAGCAGGGGCUGCCAAGCCGCUGUCCGCCGGGAAGCGGCGAUUCUGCCACCCAGAGGUCUGGGGAAAGCUCAGGAAGAGAGACUUCGAAUAGAUGACUUUGAAGACUUACAGAGCUGAGAUAUGAAGAUUUUGAAGUCAUUCUAUAUCUGAAGCUGAUUAAUAUCAGCAUUACAAAUUUGAAAGUAGUGUUCAUUGAAAGGAGACACAAAGAAAUUACGUGAGGACAUCCAAAGCCGUGUUUCGUUUAUUUUUUAAUUAGAAAAAUAAGGAAUCACAGUGUGAUUUUUUUUCCCCCCUUUAACUUAGAGGAACAACGAUUAAACAGAAAUUUGAAGAGACCUGUAGCUGUGGGCCCCUUGACAUUUAAAUCUCCAUCAUGGAGAGCUCACCACGAAGUAGAAAAAUCUCAGCAGCGAGAGACUGAACAGCACCUGGGCA
This 502-nucleotide long non-coding RNA is filed under the name Zalophus californianus (California sea lion). Its description in RNAcentral is "lncRNA (ENSZCAG00015012082.1)". Lineage: Eukaryota; Metazoa; Chordata; Mammalia; Carnivora; Otariidae. The record is from RNAcentral.